GGAAGUAAAAGUCGUAACCAGGUUUCCGUAGGUGAACCUGCGGAAGGAUCAUUACUGAGUGAGGGCCCCUCGGGGUCCAACCUCCCACCCGUGUUUAACGAACCUUGUUGCUUCGGCGGGCCCGCCUCACGGCCGCCGGGGGGCAUCCGCCCCCGGGCCCGCGCCCGCCGAAGCCACCUGUGAACGCUGUCUGAAGUAUGCAGUCUGAGACAAUUAUUAAAUUAAUUAAAACUUUCAACAACGGAUCUCUUGGUUCCG
This 258-nucleotide unclassified non-coding RNA is filed under the name plant metagenome. RNAcentral describes it as "partial contains small subunit ribosomal RNA, internal transcribed spacer 1, and 5.8S ribosomal RNA". The stretch from base 1 to 54 matches the Rfam family "Eukaryotic small subunit ribosomal RNA", at positions 1778 to 1831 of the family's 1831-position model. The record is from RNAcentral.